Astatotilapia calliptera (eastern happy) is the source of this 944-nucleotide long non-coding RNA. NCBI's taxonomy places the organism in Eukaryota, Metazoa, Chordata, Actinopteri, Cichliformes, Cichlidae. The record is from Ensembl.
CUUUUCCACUUAUAAAAGUUAACGUUAAGGUUCCUCAUGGUUAGAGACAAAUGCAAUCGCAUGGCAGGAUGCUGUAAAAGGACCAAUCUUCAGUCAGGAGAACAACUGAGAUAAUCCGUCCACAAUACGAGAAUGAAAACAGACUUCCACAAACGAACGUCAACUGAUGACUCCAUAAUUAUUCAGCCCUUCAAAGAAGUCAAAGGGAUCUUCCAGGAAUAGUGACACUAUUUUCUGGAGAAGUGAUUGGUCAGUACAUCGUGAUUUCAUACCUGCUGAUCUCUAAUCUGGAACCUAACCGGCACCAGCAGAGUAAAAGACACUAAACAGCUAAAUUGAAUCAAGCAUAAAAACAUUUUACGUAUCAAGACAAGUCAUAUGAUCUGUGAAUUUCCCUUUUUGUGAUUGGUCAGAUGCUGCCAACACCUCCCUUUCCUUGUGAAGGUGCAUGAGAAACCCUGGAUUAACUUUGCUAACCAGCGGUUAUCCUGAUCACGACUGUUAGUGGGUGAUUCUCAAGUCUGUUGGAGCCCAGGCAAAAAGGGACAAGGACACCUGACAGCCCAGUGUGCCCAGCAGAGCUGACAUGAGGGCUGUUUCAACUGAAUCACACACUCUGCUUGCCAGAGGUGAUCCAGGUGUUUUGUUUGUUUUUCUUUUUGUUCCUUCCCCCCUUUCUCAUCAUCUCUUCUCCCCUCUGUUUUUCUUUCUCUCCCUCUUUCUUUCAUUCUUUCCUUCUCCCUGUCCUUUCCCCCAGUCAUGUCUGUCCCGUCUGUAACAACUGAUAAUAAAAUAAAAUAAAUAAACAAUUAUAAUAAAGGUCAAUCAAAUGGACCAACAUGGCAUCUUUCUCGGCCUUCAAACAACAAUUCUGAUGGCUAAAGAUCCAAAUGGGACAGGCAAAAAAUAUAAAUGAUGAUAACCAUGUGCAGCUUCUCUCGUCU